RNAcentral lists this ribosomal RNA (442 nucleotides) under uncultured prokaryote. RNAcentral describes it as "bacterial SSU rRNA". It matches the Rfam family "Bacterial small subunit ribosomal RNA", at positions 355 to 796 of the family's 1533-position model. The record is from RNAcentral.
UGAGGAAUCUUGCGCAAUGGAGGAAACUCUGACGCAGCCACGCCGCGUGCAGGAAGACACCCCUCAGGGGCGUAAACUGCUUUUGUACGGGAAGAACACCCUACUCGGUAGGGUCUGACGGUACCGUACGAAUAAGGACCGGCUAACUCCGUGCCAGCAGCCGCGGUAAUACGGAGGGUCCAAGCGUUGUCCGGAAUCACUGGGUGUAAAGGGUGUGUAGGCGGGCCUGUAAGUCAGAGGUGAAAGCCCCCGGCCUAACCGGGGAAUUGCCUUUGAUACUGCAGGUCUUGAGUCCUGGAGGGGUCACUAGAAUUCGUGGUGUAGCGGUGAAAUGCGUAGAUAUCACGAGGAAUACCAGAGGCGAAGGCGGGUGACUGGACAGGUACUGACGCUGAGGCACGAAAGCGUGGGGAGCAAACAGGAUUAGAUACCCCCGUAGUCC